UCCUACGGGUGGCUGCAGUGGGGAAUUGUUCGCAAUGGGCGCAAGCCUGACGACGCAACGCCGCGUGGAGGAUGAAGAUUUUCGGAUCGUAAACUCCUGUCGAAUGGGACGAAUGGCUCGGCCGUGAAUAACGGUCGGGAAUGACGGUACCGUGAGAGGAAGCCCCGGCUAACUCCGUGCCAGCAGCCGCGGUAAUACGGGGGGGGCGAGCGUUGUUCGGAAUUACUGGGCGUAAAGGGCUCGUAGGUGGCCAUCUAAGUCAGACGUGAAAUCCCUCGGCUCAACCGGGGAACUGCGUCUGAUACUGGGCGGCUUGAAUUCGGGAGAGGGACGUGGAAUUCCAGGUGUAGCGGUGAAAUGCGUAGAUAUCUGGAGGAACACCGGUGGCGAAGGCGGCGUCCUGGACCGAUAUUGACACUGAGGAGCGAAAGCCAGGGGAGCAAACGGGAUUAGAUACCCUAGUAGUCG
This 468-nucleotide ribosomal RNA is filed under the name uncultured bacterium. RNAcentral's name for it is "bacterial SSU rRNA". It matches the Rfam family "Bacterial small subunit ribosomal RNA", at positions 337 to 796 of the family's 1533-position model. The record is from RNAcentral.